UCGGAGACUUUUAAUGAGAACCUAGUGGGCUCAGACCUGUGCUUUAAAGGCACUGUGAGGACAGAUGGAAGACCCAGAGCCUGGGGCCAACCAGGCAGAAGAUGAAGCUCCAGCUAAGAUGCUUGGCUGAGGUCACACAGUGAGAAUGGGGUGAGCCGGAACUUGCCUCCAGGACCUCUGAUUGCAAGUUCACGCUCUGAGGCACAGACCUCUUUAGCUGGUUGGCAGAUGUAGAAAUGGCCUUCUCCAAGCUUGUCCCAAGUCCCAGUACUCAGCACAGUGGGUAAGGUCAGGCUUUGUUUUGGAUUCUGGACCCCAAGACCCUUCAGCUGUACUGCUGAAAAAUACAAAAUGGAGCUGAGAGGAUUCCAGCAUGUGGCUGGGGGUCAUGUGAAGGAUCCCAGGCAGGGCCAUCACUGGGUGGUGCAGAUGCCUGAGGGCAUACGGAUGAUGGACACUGCUGCUCCCAGAGUCCUUGCUUCCCAUUCAAGUCUGUGCUGAGUGCUGGAGACCUAUUCCUUCUUCCCUAUGCCCUCUCUGUCCUUCCUCAGUGCAGUGUGGCUC
RNAcentral lists this long non-coding RNA (564 nucleotides) under Marmota monax (woodchuck). The record is from RNAcentral. Lineage: Eukaryota; Metazoa; Chordata; Mammalia; Rodentia; Sciuridae.